Molecule: ribosomal RNA, 496 nt
Filed under: uncultured bacterium
Lineage: Bacteria
Description: partial 16S ribosomal RNA
Rfam family: Bacterial small subunit ribosomal RNA
Source: RNAcentral
GAUGAACGCUGGCGGCGUGCCUAAUACAUGCAAGUCGAGCGAACAGACGAGGAGCUUGCUCCUCUGACGUUAGCGGCGGACGGGUGAGUAACACGUGGAUAACCUACCUAUAAGACUGGGAUAACUUCGGGAAACCGGAGCUAAUACCGGAUAAUAUAUUGAACCGCAUGGUUCAAUAGUGAAAGACGGUUUUGCUGUCACUUAUAGAUGGAUCCGCGCCGCAUUAGCUAGUUGGUAAGGUAACGGCUUACCAAGGCGACGAUGCGUAGCCGACCUGAGAGGGGGAUCGGCCACACUGGAACUGAGACACGGUCCAGACUCCUACGGGAGGCAGCAGUAGGGAAUCUUCCGCAAUGGGCGAAAGCUUGACGGAGCAACGCCGCGUGAGUGAUGAAGGUCUUCGGAUCGUAAAACUCUGUUAUUAGGGAAGAACAAAUGUGUAAGUAACUAUGCACGUCUUGACGGUACCUAAUCAGAAAGCCACGGCUAACUACGU